UUUCAAAAAGCAGCCAAAAGUGUCUUUUGUUGCUAUAACAACAGCUACUGCCACAGUAUCCUAGCUAGAGCGCUAUGUGGAGCAGUGCUAACGUUAGAUAAAACAAAGUGGUGGAGCGAGCUAGAGAAAGAACAGAGAGAGAGAGAGAGAGAAAGAACAGAGAGAGAGAGAGAGAGAGGUUCUAACGUUAGAUAAAACAAAGCGAGUUCCCUGUACAGGGAGCACCCGGUCAUAUCGUAUAACUCGCUGUGCUCCGACUCCAUUUUUUCUUGUUG
Sander lucioperca (pikeperch) is the source of this 275-nucleotide long non-coding RNA. RefSeq lists it as uncharacterized. The record is from RefSeq and is a predicted model, not a curated record. The transcript has 2 exons. NCBI's taxonomy places the organism in Eukaryota, Metazoa, Chordata, Actinopteri, Perciformes, Percidae.